This 425-nucleotide ribosomal RNA is filed under the name uncultured prokaryote. RNAcentral describes it as "bacterial SSU rRNA". It matches the Rfam family "Bacterial small subunit ribosomal RNA", at positions 355 to 774 of the family's 1533-position model. The record is from RNAcentral.
UGGGGAAUCAUGGUCAAUGGGCGAAAGCCUGAACCUGCGACGCCGCGUGAGUGAUGAAGGUCGUAAGAUCGUAAAACUCUUUUCAGGGAUCUUAAAGCCUGUCUGUCAACAACAGGCAGGUCUGACUCUCCCUGGAAGAAGCCCCAGCCAACUACGUGCCAGCAGCUGCGGUAAUACGUAGGGGGCGAGCGUUAUUCGGAAUUACUGGGUGUAAAGGGUAUGUAGGCGGCCCUUCAAGUAGCGUGUCAAAGUCCAGUGCUCAACGCUGGGUGUGCGCGCGAUACUGACGGGCUUGAGGGCUGGAGAGGUGGGCGGAAUUGCCGGUGUAGUGGUAAAAUACGUAGAGAUCGGGAGGAACACCAGCGGCGCAGGCGGCUCACUAGACAGUAUCUGACGCUAAGAUACGAAAGCGUGGGGAGCAAACA